GUUGUAUAGUCAAGUAAUUAAGUGCAUGUGGUGGAUGCCUUGGCAGUCAGAGGCGAUGAAAGACGUGAUAGCCUGCGAAAAGCUUCGGGGAGGUGGCAAAUAUCCUGUGAUCCGGAGAUGUCUGAAUGGGGAAACCCACUUACCAUAAGGUAGGUAUUGCAUGAUGAAUACAUAGUCAUGCAAGGCGAACGAGGGGAAGUGAAACAUCUCAGUACCCUCAGGAAAAGAAAUCAAUUGAGAUUCCCUCAGUAGCGGCGAGCGAACGGGGAUCAGCCCAUUAAGUUAUGUGUGUUUUAGCGGAAUGCUCUGGGAAGUGCAACCGUAGAGGGUGAUAGU
RNAcentral lists this ribosomal RNA (336 nucleotides) under Acinetobacter radioresistens. RNAcentral describes it as "partial 23S ribosomal RNA". It matches the Rfam family "Bacterial large subunit ribosomal RNA", at positions 1 to 371 of the family's 2925-position model. The record is from RNAcentral. Lineage: Bacteria; Pseudomonadati; Pseudomonadota; Gammaproteobacteria; Moraxellales; Moraxellaceae.